RNAcentral lists this long non-coding RNA (569 nucleotides) under Anser cygnoides (Swan goose). Its description in RNAcentral is "lncRNA (ENSACDG00005014727.1)". The record is from RNAcentral. Lineage: Eukaryota; Metazoa; Chordata; Aves; Anseriformes; Anatidae.
UGGGGAAAAGGCAAGAAAUAACGCAGUGAAUCUUUGCUCCUACUGUGUCCUCGUCACUGAACAUAUGUUACUCAAAGGAAGAAGGUGGUGGAAAAGAAUGAAUGUGACAGCCCGGGAGGGCAGGGAAUCCAUUGUGUGCAGCUCCAGAAUCAAGUGUUUCCCUAGUUUGUGACAGAACGGGUAUGAAACUGAUUAAGAUGAAACUAAUAAUUCAGAGUGCUAUCUGUGUGCCUUCCAGAUGGCAAUUUAUGUAUAAUAAACCACAUAAUAUCAACAGAAGCUCAGGAAAAAACAAUCGUGUCCCCAUCAUUAACUGAAAUCAGUAGACUUGGAUUCUGACACGUGGAACUGUAAAAUUAGAUCUGCAUUUGAAGACAACACUGACUGGUGUGUAUUCUCUUUGUAUGUGAGUAGAUUGUUAACCCCAAAGCUCCGUAUGAUCUUAUCUGGAAUUGUAUUGUAGAGAUCUUUGAAAUAAUCAUGAUAAGUCUUGUGGAAGGAUUUGCAGGUUAAAGCCAAUAAUCUUUAAAUUGCGCUCUGAAAUAAAUACAAAGCUAAGGUUAUUCUCA